Molecule: RNA transcript, 1232 nt
Organism: Lolium rigidum
Lineage: Eukaryota; Viridiplantae; Streptophyta; Magnoliopsida; Poales; Poaceae
Gene name: solute carrier family 35 member F2-like
Exons: 10
Source: RefSeq, a predicted model, not a curated record
AUUGUGUAUGAAGCGGCCAGACAAGCUUGCUGAGCUAAGAAAUCUAUUUUCUUUUUUAUUGCGGAAAAUAUCCAAAAAUCAAUUAAGCACCAGCUAUGAUCAGAGCAUGGUGUAUUCCAGGUCAGCAGUACCUUGUAUCAUAAAAGGGCAAGGAGUCUUUUUUUCAUCAAGACCACAGAACGCUGAGAGGACGGCGUGUACCUUAUUUUGCUGAUCUAGCUCUCACUCACCACACGCAAGGUUUCCUUGGCCUUGUCUCCAUGGAAAUCAAGGGGGGCACAUGGAGGAUGCUGUUCCUUCUCCUCCUUGGACAGCUAGUCUCCUUCUCCCUGGCAAUCUGCAACUUCAUCACUUCUGUUAUUUCUAAUCACGGAGUUGAUGCACCACUGACGCAGUCGUUCUUCUCGUACAUGUUGUUGGCGCUGGUUUAUGGACCAAUUCUCCUGCGGCGGCGACAAACGUUACUGAUACCGUGGUAUUGGUACCUCCUGUUGGUCCUUAUCGAUGUCGCAGGAAACUGUCUUACUAUAAAGGCGUACCAAUACUCAUACAUCACCAGCAUAACCUUGUUGAGCUGCUGCACCAUUCCAUGGGUCAUGAUCCUUACCAGGUUUGCACUAGGCGCAAGAUAUUCUUUCUGGCAAUUUGUAGGAGCAGGAACCUCGGUGGCAGGACUUGCCGUGGCAAUUAUGUCAGAUUCCGAUUCCCCAGAUGUGCAAGAUGUUAGUAAAAUACCUCUUUUGGGGGAUGCCAUUGCCAUUGCCGGGACACUUUGUUUUGCCUUUAGCAAUGUCGGAGAGGAAUACUGUGUCAAGAAGAAAGACAGAAUUGAAUAUCUUGCAAUGCUUGGAAUAUUUGGGAUGCUUGUCACUGGAAUUCAGUUAACACUGUUUGAGAGGAAGAAAAUAGACGCAGUUAAUUGGUCUCCAACAAUGAUAGGCUUGUUCGCAGGAUUUGCGGCAGUAUUUUUGGUGUUCAGAACCACUGCUCCUUUUGUUAUUAAGAUAACAGUUCGCAACUCAUCAACAAGUACUAGUUCUGAUGGUCCUACCAUUGACAAAUAGCAACGUUACAAUAGCAUUAGCUUACUGACGAGAACUUGUCGCAGAUGAGUGGAGCAACUCUGUUCAACCUCUCGCUCUUAACAACUGAUGUUUGGGCGGUUGCAGUUCGAAUUUUCUUCUAUCAUCAGCAGGUAAACUGGAUCUACUAUAUAGCAUUUUCUAUUGUAG